AUUGAACGCUGGCGGCAGGCUUAACACAUGCAAGUCGAGCGGAGAUGAGGUGCUUGCACCUUAUCUUAGCGGCGGACGGGUGAGUAAUGCUUAGGAAUCUGCCUAUUAGUGGGGGACAACAUUCCGAAAGGAAUGCUAAUACCGCAUACGUCCUACGGGAGAAAGCAGGGGAUCUUCGGACCUUGCGCUAAUAGAUGAGCCUAAGUCGGAUUAGCUAGUUGGUGGGGUAAAGGCCUACCAAGGCGACGAUCUGUAGCGGGUCUGAGAGGAUGAUCCGGCACACUGGGACUGAGACACGGCCCAGACUCCUACGGGAGGUAGCAGUGGGGAAUAUUGGACAAUGGGGGGAACCCUGAUCCAGCCAUGCCGCGUGUGUGAAGAAGGCCUUAUGGUUGUAAAGCACUUUAAGCGAGGAGGAGGCUACUGAGACUAAUACUCUUGGAUAGUGGACGUUACUCGCAGAAUAAGCACCGGCUAACUCUGUGCCAGCAGCCGCAGUAA
Molecule: ribosomal RNA, 501 nt
Filed under: uncultured bacterium
Lineage: Bacteria
Description: partial 16S ribosomal RNA
Rfam family: Bacterial small subunit ribosomal RNA
Source: RNAcentral